This 620-nucleotide ribosomal RNA is filed under the name Nocardioidaceae bacterium Ri3Pt_4278. RNAcentral's name for it is "bacterial SSU rRNA". It matches the Rfam family "Bacterial small subunit ribosomal RNA", at positions 395 to 1030 of the family's 1533-position model. Lineage: Bacteria; Bacillati; Actinomycetota; Actinomycetes; Propionibacteriales; Nocardioidaceae. The record is from RNAcentral.
CGCCGCGUGAGGGAAGACGGCCUAUCGGGUUGUAAACCUCUUUCAGCAGGGACGAAGCGCAAGGACGGUACCUGCAGAAGAAGCACCGGCCAACCACGUGCCAGCAGCCGCGGUAAUACGUAGGGUGCGAGCGUUGUCCGGAAUAUUGGGCGUAAAGGGCUCGUAGGCGGUUUGUCACGUCGGGAGUGAAAACUCGGGGCUUAACUCCGAGCCUGCUUCCGAUACGGGCAGACUAGAGGUAUGCAGGGGAGAACGGAAAUCCUGGUGUAGCGGUGAAAUGCGCAGAUAUCAGGAGGAACACCGGUGGCGAAGGCGGUUCUCUGGGCAUUACCUGACGCUGAGGAGCGAAAGUGUGGGGAGCGAACAGGAAUAGAUACCCUGGUAGUCCACACCGUAAACGUUGGGCGCUAGGUGUGGGACACAUUCCACGUGUUCCGUGCCGCAGCUAACGCAUUAAGCGCCCCGCCUGGGGAGUACGGCCGCAAGGCUAAAACUCAAAGGAAUUGACGGGGGCCCGCACAAGCGGCGGAGCAAGCGGAUUAAUUCGAUGCAACGCGAAGAACCUUACCUGGGUUUGACAUACACCGGAAAGCUCUAGAGAUAGAGCCCCUUUUAGUCGG